This 1879-nucleotide long non-coding RNA is filed under the name Nicotiana tabacum (common tobacco). RNAcentral describes it as "long non-coding RNA (NTAB_LNC012501)". The record is from RNAcentral. Lineage: Eukaryota; Viridiplantae; Streptophyta; Magnoliopsida; Solanales; Solanaceae.
AUAUCCCCAUAUGUAGCUCUGCUCCAGGUAGAUAGUGCUUGUUUAAGCUUCUUUAACUUGUAGUUAAAAAUGUAGAAAGGGUUAACACUAAAAUAAGCAUUCCAAUUCUCCUUUACUACAUCUUUGAAGGUUUCAUGCUUUGUCCAGAAGUUAAGAAAUCUGAAUGACUUUUUAAUUGGAGGAGUUUCUAUAUCACAUUUCAGCAGUAUUGGGCAAUGAUCAAACCCAAUUUUGGAUAGGUGAGUUAUAUCCAAUCUAGGAAAUGUCUGUUGCAAUUCAUUAUUGCCAAAACAUCUGUCCAAUCUUUUAAAAAUGUAGUCCUCCUCUGAUCUUCCAUUCCACCAUGUAAAUAUGCUUCCUUUAAAACCCAAGUCUGUCAAAUUGCAGGUAUUGAUGCAGUGUCUGAAGUCAUCUGCUUCAAUGAGAGAAACUAGCAAGCCCCCAUAUUUCUCUUCCUCAUCCCAUAUCACAUUAAAGUCGCCUCCAACUAGCCAAGGUACUGUCAUAUCUGAUGCCAUUGCAUACAACGUAUCCCAUAGUUCUAUUCUUUCAGUGCGGUCACAUUUGGCAUAGACUAGUAUAAGGAUGAGCUCAACAUGUGUUUCGAAGUACAUUAAUCUCAAAGUCAGCUGUUGAGUCAUAUUAUAUAAAAUAGUAACCUCAAAAAUUUCAUCAAUAAAAGCCCAAAUCUUGUUUGACACAUUCACCACAGCCUGUCCCAAACCAAUUCUUGCUCUAUACCUCUCCAUUUUGUGAGACUGUUGCAUAGGCUUAAGGAUGCCUAUGAACUCAAAAUGAUGUUUUCUAUGCAUUGCAAUCAGCCUUUCAAAUGCUUGCAUUGUGUUUACUGAACUGACAUUCCAUAUAAUGGCAUCCAUUAAAUGUUUUGAGAUUUGGACAGUGUUCUCCUUGUUUGUACUCCACUAACUGGGACAGUAGAAGUCACUUUUGACUAUUUCUUUUUUCCCUUUGAUGCAAAUUUAACUAGUUCAAUAAGCCUUGGUGACAGAUCUCCCUGCUUGGCAACAUUAAGGAAAUUUUGUGCAGUGGAUUCCUCAUCCAUGUCUCUACCUUUAAGUUCUGCAUGGUGAACUUGAUCAUGUGCUUCUACUGCUUCUUUUGAUGUAACAAUAUCCUCUGCCUGGUUGAUAAGUUCGACAUCUUUUUCAGCAUGUUCAUUGGUCAACAAUAUUGUAUUGUUCAAUGGAACGUUACUUCCUGCUACAUCCUGCACGGUGCUUAAUGGAACAAUACUUCUUGCAUAAACCUGCACUGUCAUAGCUUGGUUCUUGUCUGCAUUCUUGUCUUGUUUCUUGUCUGCAUUUUCAGCUUCUUUCAGGACAUCACUAACAGCCUUAUGUGAAGUCCCUCCUGGAUCUAUAAUAUUAAUGUUCCCCUCUUUUGUCUUUUCUGUUGCUGCAUUUGUGCAUUCACUGAUUCUUUGAAUAUUGAUUGCAUUGGCAUUACCAUUAACACUUUGAUCCUCAUCUUCCACUUCAUUUCCUCCAAAUUCUUCAUCACUAUGCAUUGUAUCUGGAAUCUGACCAUCUGCUAAGUCUUCCUCUAUUUGGUUGAGCCAUAAUCUCCCUCCUGCCCAUUUUUCUUUUUCAUUGGUCCUGAAUUUCUCAAAAGCUGUAUCUUCAACAAAAUCAUUUUCUUUGUUGUUUGUUAAUUGUUGUUCAACUUUGGUGUCCUGUGAAGGAAUGUCUUGACAUGAAGUAUUGACUUGAACUACAUUAUUUUUGAAUGCCAUUUGGACCCAGUGGGCAGUUGACUCAUUGCGCAAAUGUUGUUCCUUCCCCAAACCUUUUUGUACACAAUCAGCUGUUGAUUCCCUAUUUGCUGCAUGAUUUCUUAUUACUGUAGGAUUGAAAGUAGG